AGUGUCCCUUGAGAGCUCUCCCUGACCUGAAGCUCCUCUGCUGUCCCCUCUCCAAGUUCACCUUCUGCUCCCCGAAAAUACCAACUACCAGAAACGGGACCGCCAAUGGUCAGAAGCUACUGGCUCACUCCCACCGCGCUGUUCCCUGCCAAGUGCACCUUUAAAGAAAGGGCCAAAGGAGUCUGUGCAGUCAGAUGGAUACCAGAGAGCUUGCCUGUCCUCCGGGAAGAACAAAAAAUGAAGAUACAACACACAUCGUGAGAGAUUGGGAUUUGGAGGAGGCUUCAGCGUUCCCCCACUGGGCUGCUGACCCACGCGUCCGGGAGGAUGGAGAGUGGAGUUAAUGUGGUUUUCUAAGCCAGGUCCCGUUUUCCAGAUGACGUAAAUAAGGCCCUGAAGAAUUUCUCCAUCAGGUCAACGUUUAGGAUGUAAAUAUGACAUGUCUCCUUACAGCUUUCA
Molecule: non-coding RNA, 459 nt
Organism: Peromyscus maniculatus bairdii (prairie deer mouse)
Lineage: Eukaryota; Metazoa; Chordata; Mammalia; Rodentia; Cricetidae
Source: RefSeq, a predicted model, not a curated record